RNAcentral lists this ribosomal RNA (492 nucleotides) under uncultured bacterium. Its description in RNAcentral is "partial 16S ribosomal RNA". It matches the Rfam family "Bacterial small subunit ribosomal RNA", at positions 29 to 507 of the family's 1533-position model. The record is from RNAcentral.
AGUGAACGCUGGCGGUAGGCCUAACACAUGCCAGUCGAACGGCAGCACAGUAAGAGCUUGCUCUUACGGGUGGCGAGUGGCGGACGGGUGAGGAAUACAUCGGAAUCUACUUUUUCGUGGGGGAUAACGUAGGGAAACUUACGCUAAUACCGCAUACGACCUACGGGUGAAAGCAGGGGAUCUUCGGACCUUGCGCGAUUGAAUGAGCCGAUGUCGGAUUAGCUAGUUGGCGGGGUAAAGGCCCACCAAGGCGACGAUCCGUAGCUAGACUGAGAGGAUGAUCAGCCACACUGGAACUGAGACACGGUACAGACAGCUACGGGAGGCAACAGUGGCGAAUAUUGGACAAUGGGCGCAAGCCUGCGCCGGCCACACCGGGUGUCAGAAGAAAGCCUUCCGGUUGUAAAGCCCUUUUGUUGGGAAAGAAAAGCAGCAAAUUAAUACCCCGCUGUUCUGACGGUACCCAAAGAAUAAGCACCGGCUAACUUCAUG